UGUAGUUAAUAUGUGAUACAGUCUCUUUAUCGUGAGUUCUGACUAGAUGGUAGGUCAUGGAUAAAUCAUCAAACCUCAUCAUCAGUCAUAUGAUAGAUCCAAUCAGCUCAAGUCUAAUAGUGAUUCCAAAUAAAAACUCUUUUUCAUCAAUCAUAUUAUUAUGGCCAUAGACUUGUAGACUCAGCUUCUCAAAUCUCAUAGGACUACUCUCUCUAUCAUGAUCG
This 224-nucleotide long non-coding RNA is filed under the name Elaeis guineensis (African oil palm). Its description in RNAcentral is "long non-coding RNA (EGUI_LNC052482)". The record is from RNAcentral. Lineage: Eukaryota; Viridiplantae; Streptophyta; Magnoliopsida; Arecales; Arecaceae.